CUGACCUAACCCCACAGUGCCUGCUUUAAUCCCGUAUGGGUGCGGCUGUCCCCUAAACACCAGAGAAAUAACAUAUGAAACCAGAUAAAGCUCAGGGUCUUCAGCUCUUGCAGGCCUGGGCAGCUAAGGAAAAGGAAUUUGGAGACCUAAAGUACUUUUUCUUCAGAAGCAUAGCACUCUGUGUGACCUUGAUAGCUACAAGUGGAGAUGGAUCUUUGAGCUAUCAGAUGGAAGGCUGUCUCUGCAGACCCACACUGGAUUCUACAUAAAUAAGAAGUAUAAGUGUAACUUCGUUGUGCUAAGUCACUGAGCUUUUCGGAUUUGUUUGUUAUUGCAGCAUAGCUUAACAUUGCUCUGACUAAUGCCAUAUACAAACCUUAAACAUGUGCAAGGGUUUAUUUCUUCAUCUGCCCACACCCAAGAAUUGCUUUCCUAAAAACUUAAAAUGUAUAUAAAUUAUAUGUGUUUAUUAUGGAAAAUUAUGAAAUACAAAUAAACAGAAAAGAAGAAAGUAAAAAUCAUCUAUAAUCCUCUUGGUCAGAGUUAUCUACUGUUAACAUUUUCAUGUCUACACAUCAUGUUUUUUCUAUGUAUAUAGAAAUAUAAAUUUAUGUAUAUAUGCACAUAAACUUAUAUGUGUGUUUACAUAUUAUUGUAGAACCUACUUUUUUUUGAGAGAGGAAGAGAGCGUCUCUCUCUGUCACCCAGGCUGGAGUGUAAUAGAGUGAGCACAGCUCACUGCAGCUUCGACUGUCUGGUCUCAAGCAAUCUUCCCGCCUCAGCCUCUUGAGUAGCUGAGAUAGCUGAGACUACAGGCAUGCACCACCAUACCCGGCUAAUUUUUGUAUUUUUUGUAGAGAUGGGGUCUUGCCAUGUUGCCAAGGCAACUUCUGGGCUCAAGCUGUCCGCCCGCCUCGGCCUCCCAGAGUGCUGGGAUUACAGGCGUGAGCCACUGCGCCUGGCCACAACCUACUUUUUUAUUUGACAAAAUAUUCUGUUAAUUUUCUCAAAGCAAUAAAUACUAUUCUAGAACUCAAUUUUUUUAAUUUUUUUUUCUGAGACAGAGUCUUGCUCUGUCGGCCAGGCUAGAGUGCAGUGGUGCGAUUUCACUGUAACCUCCCCCUCCCGGGUUCAAGCAAUUCUCCUGCCUCAGCCUCCUGAGUAGGUAGGAUUACAGGCUUAUGCCACACAUGCCAGGCUAAUUUUUGUAUUUUUAGUAGAGACAGGGUUUCACCAUGUUGGCCGGGCUGGUCUAGAACUCCUGACCUCAUGAUCCACCCGCCUCAGCCUCCCAACAUGCUGGGAUUACAGGUGUGAGCCACCGCGCCCAGCCUAGAA
Molecule: long non-coding RNA, 1338 nt
Filed under: Homo sapiens (human)
Lineage: Eukaryota; Metazoa; Chordata; Mammalia; Primates; Hominidae
Description: HSALNT0183309
Source: RNAcentral